This 467-nucleotide ribosomal RNA is filed under the name uncultured bacterium. Its description in RNAcentral is "partial 16S ribosomal RNA". It matches the Rfam family "Bacterial small subunit ribosomal RNA", at positions 28 to 506 of the family's 1533-position model. The record is from RNAcentral.
GACGAACGCUGGCGGCGUGCUUAACACAUGCAAGUCGAACGGAAAGGCCCUGCUUUUGUGGGGUGCUCGAGUGGCGAACGGGUGAGUAACACGUGAGUAACCUGCCCUUGACUUUGGGAUAACUUCAGGAAACUGGGGCUAAUACCGGAUAGGAGCUCCUGCUGCAUGGUGGGGGUUGGAAAGUUUCGGCGGUUGGGGAUGGACUCGCGGCUUAUCAGCUUGUUGGUGGGGUAGUGGCUUACCAAGGCUUUGACGGGUAGCCGGCCUGAGAGGGUGACCGGCCACAUUGGGACUGAGAUAGGGCCCAGACUCCUACGGGGGGCAGCAGUGGGAAAUAUUGCAAAAGGGGCGGAAGCCUGAUGCAGAAACGCCGGGUGGGGGAGGACGGCCUUGGGGUUGUAAACCGCUUUCGCCUGUAACGAAGCGGGAGUGACGGAAAUGGGUAAAGAAGCACCGGCAAACUACGU